This 490-nucleotide ribosomal RNA is filed under the name uncultured bacterium. RNAcentral's name for it is "partial 16S ribosomal RNA". It matches the Rfam family "Bacterial small subunit ribosomal RNA", at positions 29 to 507 of the family's 1533-position model. The record is from RNAcentral.
AGUGAACGCUGGCGGCAGGCCUAACACAUGCAAGUCGAACGGCAGCACAAGAGAGCUUGCUCUCUGUGUGGCGAGUGGCGGACGGGUGAGGAAUGCAUCGGAAUCUGCCCAUUUGUGGGGGAUAACCUCGGGAAACCGUGACUAAUACCGCAUACGACCUACGGGUAAAAGCUGUGGAUCUUCGGACCUUGCGCAGAUGGAUAAGCCGCUGCCGGUUUAGCUAGUUGGAGGGGUAAAGGCCCACCAAUGCGACGAUCCGUAGCUGGUCUGAGAGGAUGAUCAGCCACACUGAGACUGAGACACGGCCCAGACUCCUACGGGAGGCAGCAGUGGGGAAUAUUGGACAAUGGGCGCAAGCCUGAUCCAGCCAUGCCGCGUGUGUGAAGAAGGCCUUCGGGUUGUAAAGCACUUUUGUUGGGAAAGAAAAGCAGCCGGUUAAUACCCGGUUGUCAUGACGGUACCCAAAGAAUAAGCACCGGCUAACUUCGUG